RNAcentral lists this ribosomal RNA (464 nucleotides) under uncultured bacterium. Its description in RNAcentral is "SSU rRNA". It matches the Rfam family "Bacterial small subunit ribosomal RNA", at positions 26 to 518 of the family's 1533-position model. The record is from RNAcentral.
AGGAUAAACGCUGGCGGCGUGCAUGAGACAUGCAAGUCAUACGGGCGAGCUUGCUCGCUAGUGGCGGACGGCUGAGUAACGCGUAGGUGACCUACCCCGAAGUGGGGAAUAACUGCCCGAAAGGGUGGCUAAUACCGCAUGUGGUGGUUCGUUCGUUCGGAUCAUCAAAGCAGUAAUGCGCUUCGGGAGGGGCCUGCGUCCGAUUAGCUCGUUGGUGGGGUAACGGCUCACCAAGGCGACGAUCGGUAGGUGGUCUGAGAGGACGAUCACCCAGACUGGGACUGAGACACGGCCCAGACUCCUACGGGAGGCAGCAGUGAGGAAUUUUCGGCAAUGGGGGCAACCCUGACCGAGCAACGCCGCGUGCAGGACGAAGGUCUUCGGAUCGUAAACUGCUUUUCUGUGGGAAGAGAACGGACGGUACCACAGGAAGAAGCCCGGCUAACUACGUAGCCAGCAGCCGC